RNAcentral lists this ribosomal RNA (510 nucleotides) under uncultured bacterium. RNAcentral describes it as "partial 16S ribosomal RNA". It matches the Rfam family "Bacterial small subunit ribosomal RNA", at positions 28 to 507 of the family's 1533-position model. The record is from RNAcentral.
GACGAACGCUGGCGGCGUGCUUAACACAUGCAAGUCGAACGAACAGCGAUGGAAGCUUGCUUCUAUCUAUCUUAGUCGCGAACGGGUGAGUAACGCGUAAUCAACCUGCCCUUCAGAGGGGGACAACAGUUGGAAACGACUGCUAAUACCGCAUACGUUCUAAUCUCGGCAUCGAGGAUAGAUGAAAGGUGGCCCCUACAUGUAAGCUAUCACUGAAGGAGGGUAUUGCGUCUGAUUAGCUAGUUGGUUGGGUAACGGCCCACCAAUGCGAUGGUCAGUAGCCGGUCUGAGAGGAGGGACGGCCAAAUUGGGACUGGGACAAGGCCCAGAAGCCCACGGGGAGAAGCAGUGGGGAAACUUCCGCAAUGGACGAAAGUCUGACGGAGCAACGCCGGGGGGGUGAUGAAGGCCUUCGGGUUGGAAAGCUCUGUUAAUCGGGACGAAAGGCCUUCUUGCGAAUAGUGAGAAGGAUUGACGGUACCGGAAUAGAAAGCCACGGCUAACUACGUG